CCAAUAGCGUAUAUUAAAGUUGUUGCAGUUAAAAAGCUCGUAGUUGAAUUUCGGGAUCAAUAUGUCGGUCGUGCCUUCGGUACGUACUGGUAUCAUUGGUCUCUCCUUUCUGACGAACCAUGAUGUCAUUAAUUUGGUGUUAUGGGGAGUUAGGACUGUUACUUUGAAAAAAUUAGAGUGUUUAGAGCGGGCUUUAGCUUGAAUACAUUAGCAUGGAAUAAUGAAAUAGGACGUUCGAACCUAUUUUGUUGGUUUCUAGGAUCAACGUAAUGAUUAAUAGGGAUAGUUGGGGGCAUUAGUAUUCAAUUGUCGGAGGUGAAAUUCUUGGAUUUAUUGAAGACUAACUACUGCGAAAGCAUUUGCCAAGGAUGUUUUCAUUAAUCAAGAACGAAAGUUAGGGGAUCGAAGACGAUCAGAUACCGUCGUAGUCUUAACCAUAAACUAUGCCGACUAGGGAUCGGAUGAUGUUAAUUUUUUAAUGACUCAUUCGGCGCCUUACG
This 500-nucleotide ribosomal RNA is filed under the name uncultured Glomeromycotina. Its description in RNAcentral is "partial small subunit ribosomal RNA". It matches the Rfam family "Eukaryotic small subunit ribosomal RNA", at positions 591 to 1092 of the family's 1831-position model. The record is from RNAcentral. Lineage: Eukaryota; Fungi; Glomeromycota.